This 497-nucleotide ribosomal RNA is filed under the name uncultured bacterium. Its description in RNAcentral is "partial 16S ribosomal RNA". It matches the Rfam family "Bacterial small subunit ribosomal RNA", at positions 28 to 507 of the family's 1533-position model. The record is from RNAcentral.
GAUGAACGCUGGCGGCGUGCCUAAUACAUGCAAGUCGAGCGAACGGACGAGAAGUUUGCUUCUCUGAUGUUAGCGGCGGACGGGUGAGUCACACGUGGAUAACCUACCUAUAAGACUGGGAUAACUUCGGGAAACCGGAUCUAACACCGGAUAAUAUUUUGAACCGCAUGGUUCAAAAGUGAAAGACGGUCUUGCUGUCACUUAUAGAUGGAUCCGCGCUGCAUUAGCUAGUUGGUAAGGUAACGGCUUACCAAGGCGACGAUGCGUAGCCGACCUGAGAGGGUGAUCGGCCACACUGGAACGGAGACACGGACCAGACUCCUACGGGAGGCAGCAGUAGGGAAUCUGCCGCAAUGGGCGAAAGCCUGACGGAGCAACGGCGCGUGGGUGAUGAAGGUCUUCGGAUCGUAAAACUCUGUUAUGAGGGAAGAACAUAUGUGUAAGUAGCUGUGCACAGCUUGACGGUACCUAAUCAGAAAGCCACGGCUAACUACGUG